RNAcentral lists this RNase P RNA (310 nucleotides) under Chelonia mydas (Green sea turtle). RNAcentral describes it as "Nuclear RNase P". It matches the Rfam family "Nuclear RNase P". From Rfam's summary of the family: Ribonuclease P (RNase P) is a ubiquitous endoribonuclease, found in archaea, bacteria and eukarya as well as chloroplasts and mitochondria. Its best characterised activity is the generation of mature 5'-ends of tRNAs by cleaving the 5'-leader elements of precursor-tRNAs. Cellular RNase Ps are ribonucleoproteins. The record is from Rfam by way of RNAcentral. Lineage: Eukaryota; Metazoa; Chordata; Testudines; Cheloniidae.
UCAGAGGGAAGCUCACCAUUGAGGUCAUGUGCAGGGUGCUAAUCACUCACUAGUCAAUGCCUCUGUGAAGGUCUGAGAGAAAAGCCAAUUAGCUGCCCUUGCAGGGUAGCACCUGCUGCAGGUUAAUGAGUUACCACCUAUGUGGGGCCCUGGUUUAGGAUACAUAUGUGGCAGGAGAAGCCAGAGUGGUGCUCCCCUGGCAGAUGCCCAUUCACCCAAAGGGCUUUGGGGUAGGCUCAUGGCUGGCACUACUGAGCUCAAUGGGAUAAGGUGAGUCCCCAUAACCCAACUCAGACUACUCUCCCCCUGA